RNAcentral lists this ribosomal RNA (497 nucleotides) under uncultured bacterium. Its description in RNAcentral is "partial 16S ribosomal RNA". It matches the Rfam family "Bacterial small subunit ribosomal RNA", at positions 28 to 507 of the family's 1533-position model. The record is from RNAcentral.
GAUGAACGCUGGCGGCGUGCUUAAUACAUGCAAGUCGAGCGAACGGACGAGAAGCUUGCUUUUCUGAUGUUUGCGGCGGACGGGUGUGAAACACGUGUAUAAUCCACUUAUAAGACUGGGAUAACCUCGGGAAACCGGAGCUUAUACCGGAUAAUAUUUUGAUCCGCAUGGUUCAAUAGUGAAAGACGGCCUUGCUGUCACUUAUAGAUGCAUCUCCGCUGCAUUAGCUAGUAGGUACGGUAACGGCUUACCAAGGCAACGAUGCAUAGCCGACCUGUGAGGGUGAUAGGCCACACUGGAGCUGAGACACGGACCAGGCUCCUACGGGAGGCAGCAGUAGGGAAUCGUCCGCAAUGGGCGAAAGCCUGACGGAGCAACGCCGCGUGAGUGAUGACGGUCUUCGGAUCGUAAAACUCUGUUAUUAGGUAAAAACAUAUGUGUAAGUAACUGUGCACAUCUUGACGGUACCUAAUCAGAAAGCCACGGCUAACUACGUG